CGUGCUGAAGAGCUUCUCUAAAGCAAUGCAGGAAUUUCAGCUUUAUUGCCAUAAGCCUGAAUCUACAAAAUGGAGUCAAAGCUGGGGUGAAGGAAGCCACCUAUUCAGCGGUGAAACAGGUGGUGCUGGGGAGCUGAGAGCAAGAGGGCUGGAUGGUCUGAGCAGGAGGAUGUGACCCAAGGCCAUGGAGUUGGAAGCCCAAGGGAAUGAUGAGGGCAUGACCCAAAGCCACUGUGUGGGGAGCCCACAGGAGCAGAACCCCCUGCUGAUGUUGGUCUGCAGGGCUAUCAAUAUUCUAUGGAGGUUCAUCUCUUCUGCUCUACACUUUGGGAGAAAAGUCCCUGCAGAAUGACAAAGGCUCAUCAAUGCUGCAGAGCGGUUUGGUCCUUUCUGGAGUAAAUCUGGUUGUUUGCUGAAGUGGGGUUGGGAGUUGGGUGUGACAUGGGGU
This is a long non-coding RNA of Lagopus leucura (white-tailed ptarmigan), 448 nucleotides long. RefSeq lists it as uncharacterized. The transcript has 4 exons. The record is from RefSeq and is a predicted model, not a curated record. Lineage: Eukaryota; Metazoa; Chordata; Aves; Galliformes; Phasianidae.